CAGUAGCCACGGUAAUACGAGGGGGGCAAGUGUUGUUCGGAAUUAUUGGGCGUAAAGGGUGCGUAGGCGGUUUGACAAGUCUUAUGUGAAAUCUCUGGGCUCAACCCAGAGUCUGCAUGGGAAACUGUCGGGCUUGAGUAUGGGAGAGGUGAGUGGAAUUUCCGGUGUAGCGGUGAAAUGCGUAGAUAUCGGAAGGAACACCUGUGGCGAAAGCGGCUCACUGGACCAUAACUGACGCUGAGGCACGAAAGCUAGGGGAGCAAACAGGAUUAGAUACCCGGGUAGUCCCUGUCUCUUAUAC
Molecule: ribosomal RNA, 301 nt
Filed under: uncultured bacterium
Lineage: Bacteria
Description: partial 16S ribosomal RNA
Rfam family: Bacterial small subunit ribosomal RNA
Source: RNAcentral